Molecule: long non-coding RNA, 446 nt
Organism: Oncorhynchus tshawytscha (Chinook salmon)
Lineage: Eukaryota; Metazoa; Chordata; Actinopteri; Salmoniformes; Salmonidae
Source: Ensembl
GUGAGAGGGAACAGUAGGUGAGGGGUACAGUAGGUGAGAGGUGAGGGGUUACAGUAGGUGAGAGGUGAGGGGUUACAGUAGGUGAGAGGUGAGAGGGAACAGUAGGUGAGAGGUGAGAGGGAACAGUAGGUGAGAGGUGAGAGGGUACAGUAGGUGAGAGGUGAGGGGUUACAGUAGGUGAGAGGUGAGAGGUAACAGUAGGUGAGAGGUGAGGGGUUACAGUAGGUGAGAGGUGAGAGGCAACAGUAGGUGAGAGGUGAGAGGUUACAGUAGGUGAGAGGUGAGGGGCAACAGUAGGUGAGAGGUGAGAGGCAACAGUAGGUGAGAGGUGAGGGGCAACAGUAGGUGAGAGGUUACAGUAGGUGAGAGGUGAGGGGCAACAGUAGGUGAGAGGUGAGAGGCAACAGUAGGUGAGAGGUGAGGGGCAACAGUAGGUGAGAGGUGAG